GGCUGACACAAUCCGAGCCCCAGCCCCCGCCGGGCCUUUUUGUCAGGUGGAAACCUAAGCUAAGCAAACAUACAAAAAAGUGUUAGUAUGCUCAACGCGACACUCGCCAGCCUCCAAUUUUCCACACCCCCUGGCCAGCCCGGGCCGUCCUGAAAUGUCCUUUUAGCCCAGGACAUGGCACACAUACGGAGAAGAGAAAAAAUAUUUUUAAUGGUCUUUUGGCCAGCAAAGCGGACGAAGAGGAUACAAAGGACGAGAUCCAGUGCCAGAACUACAGGCAGGAAGCCAAGGCGCAAGCGAAUUGUCGAAAGUUGAAUGAAUUGUCGGUUGAAUCGAAGGGACAGGUGUUAUCCUGUGGUAAUAUUUGUGUCCGAAACUAUUUGCAUAUGCCAGGCCAGGCUGGUUAUUUGUGGAAUGGUAAUCAGGGAUCAGAAAGGAUAGCAAGUUCUUCAAACUGCCGUCAGGACACGUGACAUUAAGGCCACCAAUGCCAAAGCUUGCCAAUCAAUUUAUGCGAUUCUGGGCCACCACUUUCCCCGAUUCCGACACUCGAACAACUCUUUAAACCAUUUACGUUUUGUCAUAAUUGCAAAUUUCGUUAUCAGAUCAUAACGAAUAAAUAGAGGGGAUCCUGGGGCGAGAGCCACACAAACAGACGCCAAACAUGACCUUUAUCAAAUCAGACUUAAUUCCCAUGAAAUCCGCAUCAACUGCGUGCAACAUCGCUGACCUUGCCCCGGCCCCUGGCCGAUGCUAAACCAGAAACCAACUUCCACACAAUAAAAGUAGAAAUAAAUCGGCACAGAGGCAGGAGGAUAUAUAGAAACACA
This 830-nucleotide small RNA is filed under the name Drosophila ananassae. Its description in RNAcentral is "GF27996". Lineage: Eukaryota; Metazoa; Arthropoda; Insecta; Diptera; Drosophilidae. The record is from RNAcentral.